CUCAGGACGAACGCUGGCGGCGCGCCUAACACAUGCAAGUCGAACGAGAGAGAGGGAGCUUGCUUCCUCAAUCGAGUGGCGAACGGGUGAGUAACGCGUGAGGAACCUGCCUCAAAGAGGGGGACAACAGUUGGAAACGACUGCUAAUACCGCAUAAGCCCACGGCUCGGCAUCGAGCAGAGGGAAAAGGAGUGAUCCGCUUUGAGAUGGCCUCGCGUCCGAUUAGCUGGUUGGUGAGGUAACGGCCCACCAAGGCGACGAUCGGUAGCCGGACUGAGAGGUUGAACGGCCACAUUGGGACUGAGACACGGCCCAGACUCCUACGGGAGGCAGCAGUGGGGAAUAUUGCACAAUGGGGGAAACCCUGAUGCAGCGACGCCGCGUGGAGGAAGAAGGUCUUCGGAUUGUAAACUCCUGUUGUUGAGGAAGAUAAUGACGGUACUCAACAAGGAAGUGACGGCUAACUACGUGCCAGCAGCCGCGGUAAAACGUAGGUCACAAGCGUUGUCCGGAAUUACUGGGUGUAAAGGGAGCGCAGGCGGGAGAACAAGUUGGAAGUGAAAUCCAUGGGCUCAACCCAUGAACUGCUUUCAAAACUGUUUUUCUUGAGUAGUGCAGAGGUAGGCGGAAUUCCCGGUGUAGCGGUGGAAUGCGUAGAUAUCGGGAGGAACACCAGUGGCGAAGGCGGCCUACUGGGCACCAACUGACGCUGAGGCUCGAAAGUGUGGGUAGCAAACAGGAUUAGAUACCCUGGUAGUCCACACCGUAAACGAUGAUUACUAGGUGUUGGAGGAUUGACCCCUUCAGUGCCGCAGUUAACACAAUAAGUAAUCCACCUGGGGAGUACGACCGCAAGGUUGAAACUCAAAGGAAUUGACGGAAGG
Molecule: ribosomal RNA, 884 nt
Filed under: uncultured bacterium
Lineage: Bacteria
Description: bacterial SSU rRNA
Rfam family: Bacterial small subunit ribosomal RNA
Source: RNAcentral